Molecule: ribosomal RNA, 553 nt
Filed under: uncultured fungus
Lineage: Eukaryota; Fungi
Description: eukaryotic LSU rRNA
Rfam family: 5.8S ribosomal RNA (bases 191-344)
Source: RNAcentral
GGUGAACCUGCGGAAGGAUCAUUACAGAGUUCAUGCCCUUCGGGGUAGACCUCCCACCCUUGAGUACUAUACUUUUGUUGCUUUGGCAGGCCGUCAGGUUUACGCCUGGCUACCGGCUCCGGCUGGUAAGUGUCUGCCAGAGGACCUAAACUCUGAAUUUUAUGUCGUCCGAGUACUAUAUAAUAGUUAAAACUUUCAACAACGGAUCUCUUGGUUCUGGCAUCGAUGAAGAACGCAGCGAAAUGCGAUAAGUAAUGUGAAUUGCAGAAUUCAGUGAAUCAUCGAAUCUUUGAACGCACAUUGCGCCCCUUGGUAUUCCGAGGGGCAUGCCCGUUCGAGCGUCAUCAACACCAUCAAGCCUGGCUUGGUAUUGGGCCUUGCCUGUAACACGGCCGGCUUUAAAAUCAGUGGCGGUGCCGCCUGGCUCUAAGCGUAGUAACUUUUCUCGCUAUUGUGCCCGGCGGUUGCUURCCAACAACCCCUAAUUUAAUAGAUUUGACCUCGGAUCGGGUAGGGAUACCCGCUGAACUUAAGCAUAUCAAUAAGCGGAGGA